CAGCAGCCCGCGGUAAUACAGAGGGUGCGAGCGUUAAUCGGAUUUACUGGGCGUAAAGCGUGCGUAGGCGGCUUCUUAAGUCGGAUGUGAAAUCCCUGAGCUUAACUUAGGAAUUGCAUUCGAUACUGGGAAGCUAGAGUAUGGGAGAGGAUGGUAGAAUUCCAGGUGUAGCGGUGAAAUGCGUAGAGAUCUGGAGGAAUACCGAUGGCGAAGGCAGCCAUCUGGCCUAAUACUGACGCUGAGGUACGAAAGCAUGGGGAGCAAACAGGAUUAGAUACCCCCGUAGUCCCUGUCUCUUAUA
RNAcentral lists this ribosomal RNA (301 nucleotides) under uncultured bacterium. Its description in RNAcentral is "partial 16S ribosomal RNA". It matches the Rfam family "Bacterial small subunit ribosomal RNA", at positions 509 to 808 of the family's 1533-position model. The record is from RNAcentral.